This 433-nucleotide ribosomal RNA is filed under the name uncultured bacterium. RNAcentral describes it as "partial 16S ribosomal RNA". It matches the Rfam family "Bacterial small subunit ribosomal RNA", at positions 29 to 507 of the family's 1533-position model. The record is from RNAcentral.
AACGAACGCUGGCGGCAUGCCUAACACAUGCAAGUCGAACGAGACCUUCGGGUCUAGUGGCGCACGGGUGCGUAACGCGUGGGAACCUGCCUUUAGGUUCGGAAUAACUCAGAGAAAUUUGAGCUAAUACCGGAUGAUGUCUUCGGACCAAAGAUUUAUCGCCUUUAGAUGGGCCCGCGUUGGAUUAGCUAGUUGGUGGUGUAAAGGCCUACCAAGGAGACGAUCCAUAGCUGGUCUGAGAGGAUGACCAACCACACUGGGACUGAGACACGGCCCAGACUCCGACGGGAGGGAGCAGAAGGGAGUAUUAGACGAUGGGCGAAAGCCUAGUACAGCAGUGCCGCGUGAGAGAUGAAGGCGUUAGGGUUGUAAAGCUCUCUUAGACGAGAUGAUAAUGACGGUAUCGGGUGAAUAAGCACCGGCUAACUACGUG